AGUGAACGCUGGCGGUAGGCCUAACACAUGCAAGUCGAACGGCAGCACAGUAAGAGCUUGCUCUUACGGGUGGCGAGUGGCGGACGGGUGAGGAAUACAUCGGAAUCUACUUUUUCGUGGGGGAUAACGUAGGGAAACUUACGCUAAUACCGCAUACGACCUACGGGUGAAAGCAGGGGAUCUUCGGACCUUGCGCGAUUGAAUGAGCCGAUGUCGGAUUAGCUAGUUGGCGGGGUAAAGGCCCACCAAGGCGACGAUCCGUAGCUGGUCUGAGAGGAUGAUCAGCCACACGGGAACUGAGACACGGUCCAGACUCCUACGGGAGGCAGCAGUGGGGAAUAUUGGACAAUGGGCGCAAGCCGGAUCCAGCCAUACCGCGUGGGUGAAGAAGGCCUUCGGGUUGUAAAGCCGUUUUGUUGGGAAAGAAAAGCAGCAGGUUAAUACCCCGCUGUUCUGACGGUACCCAAAGAAUAAGCACCGGCUAACUUCGUG
Molecule: ribosomal RNA, 492 nt
Filed under: uncultured bacterium
Lineage: Bacteria
Description: partial 16S ribosomal RNA
Rfam family: Bacterial small subunit ribosomal RNA
Source: RNAcentral